CUUAAAUGGUUACACUGGAACAACAUGCCGAUGUCCUCCUAACUGCAUUUGUACGGUUGGACUUGAUAUUUGUAUUUCAUGUACACAUGGUUAUGAUAAUCCUGAACAACAAUGCACGUGUCAAUCGAAAUAUUGUCUCGAGAAUGAAUGUGAUCAAUGUAUUAACCAGACGUUUUACGUUGAUAAAAAUGCGUGCUGUUCAUAUCCUGAUCAUUGCAAAGAUGGUGACUACAGGGAAGGACCUGAAUGUAUUUCUGGUUGCAUGGACGGCUUUUACGGUUUGGAUUGUUCUCAAAGUUGCUUGUCCCUGAGUGCGGACUGUUUACGAUGUACUCAGACGUAUGGAAAGUGUUUGGAAUGUAGCGAUGGUUUUUAUCCAAAUGACUAUGGAAGCUGCAUAAAUUGCAGUAUUAGCUGUAUAAGUGGGCUUUGCAAUUCUGCGAAAGUAAAUGGCUGCAUCAAUGAUCUUGAAGGCAGAGAUUGCUCAGAACGACGAAUUUACAUUGGUUCUUCAACAAUAAAUGCCCUCUCAGCUUAUCGGUAGUUUUGGGCAUUUCGCUUAUUUGCACAGCUGCUGGUUGCUAUCUGUGGAACAGACGAAUGUAUAAACCAACAGAACCGGAAGAUCAGCUUGAAACUGAGAUGACCUAUGAACAGCUACAAAGACAGGCAAACGAACCAACAUACACAAAUGCUGACGAAAAUUAUUCCGUGCUUUCAACGUAGAAGUUAAAAACAGUUUUUUUGCAUGAGAGAAUGAGUAUAACGAGAUUUUGCAUUUCUAUUCUGAACUUUAAGAACACAUUUAGGUUUGGUUUUACACCUGUUGCCAGUAGAUAUAAAUUUGCAGUCGUAGUAUUAAUAUGUAUCGAGAAUUGAUUAUAAUUAAUUUCAGAACAAUAUAUCCAGUGUGUACAUCAUUUUACGUUAUGUAUGUAUAUAUUUUCGUCAUACAUGUAACACUACAUGUUUAGGACGUCCUGUUUUGUGCCCGAAUGCUCUAAACACUCUGUAUAUGUUGGGAAAAUGUGAAGUGGAGCUUGGUUAGAUAGUAAACGCCGCCGUAUGUGGUUACCCUUACACUUUAACAUGGUCAUUGAUACGUAUUAGGCUGCUGGGCUUAUCCAGUAAAGUAAAACAUAGUUACCUUUCUGACAAUAUGAAUCUUAUAUUGUAGACCUCCAUCCAAAUACACACUACGACAUAAUCAAUAAACUGGUGACUC
Molecule: long non-coding RNA, 1225 nt
Organism: Mya arenaria
Lineage: Eukaryota; Metazoa; Mollusca; Bivalvia; Myida; Myidae
Exons: 3
Source: RefSeq, a predicted model, not a curated record